AUUGAACGCUGGCGGCAGGCCUAACACAUGCAAGUCGAGCGGAUGAAGGGAGCUUGCUCCUGGAUUCAGCGGCGGACGGGUGAGUAAUGCCUAGGAAUCUGCCUGGUAGUGGGGGAUAACGUCCGGAAACGGGCGCUAAUACCGCAUACGUCCUGAGGGAGAAAGUGGGGGUUCUUCGGACCUCACGCUAUCAGAUGAGCCUAGGUCGGAUUAGCUAGUUGGUGGGGUAAAGGCCUACCAAGGCGACGAUCCGUAACUGGUCUGAGAGGAUGAUCAGUCACACUGGAACUGAGCCACGGUCCAGACUCCUACGGGAGGCAGCAGUGGGGAAUAUUGGACAAUGGGCGAAAGCCUGAUCCAGCCAUGCCGCGUGUGUGAAGAAGGUCUUCGGAUUGUAAAGCACUUUAAGUUGGGAGGAAGGGCAGUAAGUUAAUACCUUGCUGUUUUGACGUUACCAACAGAAUAAGCACCGGCUAACUUCGUG
RNAcentral lists this ribosomal RNA (484 nucleotides) under uncultured bacterium. RNAcentral's name for it is "partial 16S ribosomal RNA". It matches the Rfam family "Bacterial small subunit ribosomal RNA", at positions 30 to 507 of the family's 1533-position model. The record is from RNAcentral.